GACGAACGCUGGCGGCGUGGAUUAGGCAUGCAAGUCGAACGAGAAAGUCCCUUCGGGGGCGAGUACAGUGGCGCACGGGUGAGUAACACGUGGAUAACCAACCCUCGGGUGGGGGAUAACAGUCCGAAAGGAUUGCUAAUCCCGCAUAAGACCACGGCAGCUGCGGCUGCUGAGGUAAAAGGCGCUUUAUUGAGUCGCCUGAGGACGGGUCCGCGUCCCAUUAGCUAGUUGGCGGGGUAAUGGCCCACCAAGGCGAUGAUGGGUAGCUGGUCUGAGAGGAUGACCAGCCACACUGGGACUGGAACACGGCCCAGACUCCUACGGGAGGCAGCAGUGAGGAAUCUUGCGCAAUGGGGGAAACCCUGACGCAGCAACGCCGCGUGAGUGAGGAAGGCCUUCGGGUCGUAAAGCUCUGUCAGAUGGGAAGAAAUGGGUGGGGCGUAAUAUCGCCCAUCCUUGACGGUACCAUCAGAGGAAGCACCGGCUAACUCCGUGCCAGCAGCCG
Molecule: ribosomal RNA, 505 nt
Filed under: uncultured bacterium
Lineage: Bacteria
Description: bacterial SSU rRNA
Rfam family: Bacterial small subunit ribosomal RNA
Source: RNAcentral